Molecule: long non-coding RNA, 351 nt
Organism: Helianthus annuus (common sunflower)
Lineage: Eukaryota; Viridiplantae; Streptophyta; Magnoliopsida; Asterales; Asteraceae
Exons: 4
Source: RefSeq, a predicted model, not a curated record
CCGGUGUAAACACAUUCUUUUCAUCAACAACUUCAGGCAUCUGUUGAGCUACCUUUAUUAUCUUACAAAAGUUAAAGAGGAGAGACUGAACGUAUUGGAAAAAGCGUGAGCAAAAUCUGUAGAGGAUUAAAGUGGGAGAGUGGGGAGCAGUUCAUAAAAGCAUUUUGUUUGAGGGGGGUUUUCAAAAAGAUGAUGAUGAAAGCCAUCUGAAAAUGGCAUGAGCACGAGCUUAAUAACAAGCUACAGACAAGCAGAUGGUUGUUUUGGUGAAGAGCUGUUUAGGCUCUAGAAUUAAAAUAUAGCAAAUUCUUGGCAAUGGAAAGUACUCUUUGAUAAGUGAUCUGAAUGACA